CAAAAGAAGAGUUUGAUCCUGGCUCAGAAGGAACGCUAGCUAUAUGCUUAACAUAUGCAAGUCGAACGUUGUUUUCGGGGAGCUGGGCAGAAGGAAAAGAGGCUCCUAGCUAAAGGUAGCUUGUCUUGCCCAGGAGGUGAGAAGAGUUGAGAACAAAGUGGUGAACGGGUGCCUAACGCGUGGGAAUCUGCCGAACAUUUCGGGCAAAAUCCUAAAGAAAGCUAAAAAGUGUUGUUUGGUCUAACUCUGAAGUUUA
Molecule: non-coding RNA, 256 nt
Filed under: Nicotiana attenuata
Lineage: Eukaryota; Viridiplantae; Streptophyta; Magnoliopsida; Solanales; Solanaceae
Description: Bacterial small subunit ribosomal RNA
Rfam family: Bacterial small subunit ribosomal RNA
Source: Rfam by way of RNAcentral